This 479-nucleotide ribosomal RNA is filed under the name uncultured bacterium. RNAcentral's name for it is "partial 16S ribosomal RNA". It matches the Rfam family "Bacterial small subunit ribosomal RNA", at positions 28 to 507 of the family's 1533-position model. The record is from RNAcentral.
GACGAACGCUGGCGGCGCGCUUAACACAUGCAAGUCGAGCGAUGAAAUUUCGACAGAUCCCUUCGGGGUGAAGAUGAAAUGGAUUAGCGGCGGACGGGUGAGUAACACGUGAGUAACCUGCCUUUGACAUUGGGAUAGCCUCGGGAAACUGGGAUUAAUACCAAAUGACACUAACUGAUCACAUGAUCAAUUAGUCAAAGAAAUUCGGUCAAAGAUGGACUCGCGGCUGAUUAGCUAGUUGGUGAGGUAACGGCCCACCAAGGCGACGAUCAGUAGCCGGGAUGAGAGGGUGAUCGGCGACAUUGGAACGGAGACACGGUCCAAACUCCUACGGGAGGCAGCAGUGGGGAAUAUUGCACAGUGGGGGAAACCCUGAUGCAGCGACGCCGCGUGAGCGAAGAAGGCCUGCGGGUCGUAAAGCUCUUUUAUGAGGGAAGAUAAUGACGGUACCUAAAGAAAAAGCCACGGCUAACUACGUG